Molecule: transfer RNA, 71 nt
Filed under: Glyptothorax pallozonus
Lineage: Eukaryota; Metazoa; Chordata; Actinopteri; Siluriformes; Sisoridae
Description: tRNA-Thr
Rfam family: tRNA
About the family: Transfer RNA (tRNA) molecules are approximately 80 nucleotides in length. Their secondary structure includes four short double-helical elements and three loops (D, anti-codon, and T loops).
Source: RNAcentral
GCCCUAGUAGCUUAGUACUAAAGCACCGGUCUUGUAAUCCGGAGAUCGAAGGUAAAAUCCUCCCUAGUGCC